CCGGUUUUGUAAAUUUUCUGUGAAAUCGUUGUGCUCAACAUAACGGCGUGCAGAAAAGACUGCAAGACUAGGGACCGGGAGGAGUCAGAGGUAUUUCGGGGGAGCGGUAAAAUGCUAUAAUCCCUGAAGGACCGCCUGUGGCGAAAGCGUCUGACUAGAACGGCUCCGACGGUGAGGGACGAAAGCUAGGGGAGCAAUCCGGAUUAGAUACCCGAGUAGUCCUAGCUGUAAACUCUGCGAGUUAGGUGUUGCACAAUCUUCGGGAUUGUGCAGUGUCGUAGCGAAGGUGUUAAACUCGCCGCCUGGGGAGUACGGUCGCAAGGCUGAAACUUAAAUGAAUUGGCGGGGGAGCACUACAAGGGGUGCGGCGUGCGGUUUAAUCUAAUUCAACACAGAGAAUCUCACUAGAAGCGACGGCAGGAUGAAGGUCAGUCUGAAGGGCUUACCUGACGAGCCGAGAGGUAGUGCAUGGCC
This 474-nucleotide ribosomal RNA is filed under the name uncultured euryarchaeote. RNAcentral describes it as "bacterial SSU rRNA". It matches the Rfam family "Archaeal small subunit ribosomal RNA", at positions 525 to 999 of the family's 1478-position model. The record is from RNAcentral. Lineage: Archaea; Methanobacteriati; Methanobacteriota.